Molecule: long non-coding RNA, 1254 nt
Organism: Oncorhynchus masou masou (cherry salmon)
Lineage: Eukaryota; Metazoa; Chordata; Actinopteri; Salmoniformes; Salmonidae
Exons: 2
Source: RefSeq, a predicted model, not a curated record
UGGUGCCUGCUGAGUGAGAAGGGGCAGAUAGAAGCCCUGCACGACAAGGUGGCUGUCCCUGUGGAGGUCGACGGACUGGAAAGGGUUGGGGUGUUUCUGGAUUUCGAGGAGGGUAGCCUGUCGUUCUAUAAAGUGGCACAAGGGGGCGCUCUGAGCUUGCUCCAUUGUUUUAAACAGAGGUUCAGUGAACCAUUGUAUCCUGCACUAGCCGUGUCUAAAACCCAGCUCAACAUCUCUGAUCUGUUCCAGGCAGAAUCUGUUACGUCAGAGUAGUUACACGAGUACUUCAGAUAUCUAUAAAUCUUCUUCUUUUUUUAACGGCAAUCUGAUUCAAACAACAACAGGUGGUCAAUCCGCCACUAUUUUAUUCUGUAAACCGCUGAUGAGUGGGGCUAGAGAAGGAGAAUUGUUCCAGACAGGCUCAGUAGAAUACACACAGUGGGGAAGUUAAGUUUUUUCUACAGAUCAUAAAUACCUUUUUGUGUAAGCAAUAAAACAUUUUUUUUAAACUUUUUAUAAAUGUUAAUCAAAUAGAGGAUUGCGAAGAGAAAUCUCAACGCAGAGAUAAUCUUAAAUAUUCUUAUGUUUCAUUGUUUUCAAAUGUAGAUGUAAUGAGAAGCAUAAAUACACUGAGUGGACGAAAAAUUAGGAACACCUGCCCUUUCCAUGACAGACUGAGAAGGGGAAAGCUAUGAUCCCUUAUUGGUGUCACCUGUUAAAUCCACUUCAAUCAGUGGAGAUGAAGGGGAGGAGACGGGUCAAGGAAGGGUUUUUAAGUCUUGAGCCAUGGAUUGUGUAUAAUUUAGAGGGUGAAUGGGCAAGACAAAAUAAUUAAGUGCUUUUGUACGGGAUCUGGUAGUAGGUGCCAGGCGCACCGGUUUGGGUCAAGAACUGCAACGCUGCUGGGUUUUUCAAUAAUGGUCCACCACCCAAAGGACAUCCAGCCAACCUGACACAACUGCGGGAAGCAUUGGAGUCAACAUAGACCAGCAUCCCUGUGGAACGCCUUCGACACCUUGUAGAGUCCAUGCCCUGACGAAUUGAGGCUGUUCUGAGUGGAAAAGGGGGGGAGGGGCGCAGCUCAAUAUUAGGAAGGUGUUCUUAAUGUUUUGUAUACUCAGUGUAGAGGUCUCUGUUCAGUAUAAUCUGCAUUGCUUGGGGUUUUAAGUUGGGUUUCUGUACAGCACUUUGUGAUAUCUGCUGAUGUAAAAAAUGGCUUUAUAAAUAAAUUUGACUUACCCUUCCCUUUCCUGA